CGCUGGUUGCUUUCCCUAGGACCCUAUGUCCUAAUAAAAAUUGGUGGGGUCCACCCUAAAAACCCUAGGGUAAGUGUCUUACAAUUUUGGGCCUCCAAUAAUUUUUUAACAAUGGCCCAAUGUGCAAAAGUUGAUCUAAAAAGUUUAAACAAUUAAAAUUACAAUACAACUAAAAUUUAAAAUGUCUAAUCAGAGAGUCUUUAAUUUAUUUUGUCUCCUCC
RNAcentral lists this long non-coding RNA (221 nucleotides) under Vigna radiata. RNAcentral's name for it is "long non-coding RNA (VRAD_LNC006521)". Lineage: Eukaryota; Viridiplantae; Streptophyta; Magnoliopsida; Fabales; Fabaceae. The record is from RNAcentral.